This 492-nucleotide ribosomal RNA is filed under the name uncultured bacterium. RNAcentral describes it as "partial 16S ribosomal RNA". It matches the Rfam family "Bacterial small subunit ribosomal RNA", at positions 29 to 507 of the family's 1533-position model. The record is from RNAcentral.
AGUGAACGCUGGCGGUAGGCCUAACACAUGCAAGUCGAACGGCAGCACAGUAAGAGCUUGCUCUUACGGGUGGCGAGUGGCGGACGGGUGAGGAAUACAUCGGAAUCUACUUUUUCGUGGGGGAUAACGUAGGGGAACUUACGCUAAUACCGCAUACGACCUACGGGGGAAAGCAGGGGAUCUUCGGACCUUGCGCGAUUGAAUGAGCCGAUGUCGGAUUAGCUAGUUGGCGGGGUAAAGGCCCACCAAGGCGACGAUCCGUAGCUGGUCUGAGAGGAUGAUCAGCCACACUGGAACUGAGACACGGUCCAGACUCCUACGGGAGGCAGCAGUGGGGAAUAUUGGACAAUGGGCGCAAGCCUGAUCCAGCCAUACCGCGUGGGUGAAGAAGGCCUUCGGGUUGUAAAGCCCUUUUGUUGGGAAAGAAAAGCAGCAGGUUAAUACCCCGCUGUUCUGACGGUACCCAAAGAAUAAGCACCGGCUAACUUCGUG